This is a long non-coding RNA of Girardinichthys multiradiatus, 312 nucleotides long. RefSeq lists it as uncharacterized. The transcript has 2 exons. NCBI's taxonomy places the organism in Eukaryota, Metazoa, Chordata, Actinopteri, Cyprinodontiformes, Goodeidae. The record is from RefSeq and is a predicted model, not a curated record.
ACAGCCUGUGUUGGGCUGCUGUGGCUCUUCCAUCAGCCUCACUCUGGAGAAGGACAAACCAAUGCCCUCUCAGCGCAAACUCUCAAACACAUCCAACAUGUCAAUCUCAGACUCAGAGAGUUACUCACCUUCCCUGGACCACCAUCUUCAUCACCAAACAGUCCAGAGCACCAGUACAACUGCCAGUGACACAACACACAGAAUGAUGCUAUCUUUGUAAUGCUGUUAAACCUAUCUUUUUUAAGUGUGACCACCAGUAGGUGUCAAUAGUGAUCACCAAAUGUGAAAGAAAAAUAAAUUGUAAAAUCUUCA